CGAUCUGAAAUAAGGCAAGACUACUGGCUGAAUUUAAGCAUAUAAUUAAGCCAAGGAAAAGAAACUAACAAGGAUUCCCCUAGUAACGGCGAGUGAAGCGCGAAGAGCUCAAAUUGAAAAGCGUGCGUUCCCUGUUGAAUGUCACGCGUUGUAAUCUAUAGAAGUGUUGUUAGCAAACCGACCAGAUCUAAAUUCAUUGGAAUGUGAUGUCAUAGAGGGUGAGAACCCCGUUUAUGGGCUUGGCUACGGAUGCGUCCGACGCACUUUCGAAGAGUCGCGUUCCUUGGGAUUGGAGCGCAAAGUUGGUGGUAAACUCCAUCUAAAGCUAAAUAUUUGCGAGAGACCGAUAGCGAACAAGUACCGUGAGGGAAAGAUGAAAAGAACUUUGAAAAGAGAGUUAAAAAGUCCUUGAAAUUGCUGGAAGAGAAGCGAUUUGAGCAAGUGAUGUCGGUAGGGUACUUUCUUGUGUGCACCGUUGCCGAUGUCACCGGUUACGAGGAGACGCGAGUCCUUCGUCUGGAGACUUGUUGGCUGUGGUGUUGCGAGGUUCUGUCCUGCCGGAUUCGUCAGAAUCAGUUUGGAGCAUAGACGAAAGCCCGUAGGGAAGGUAGAGUGGUUGGAGCCUUGCGUUCCGAUUGCUUGUUACAGCCCUGUGGUUAUACUCGUGCUCUGGACUGAGGCCUACAGUGCUCGCUCCCAUUCCGGGAGUAGUGUGGUGCUCCGUUUUCUUGUGCGUCGCGUCCUUGGACAGCAAAGCUGUGUCUGGCGUUGUGCGUUUGCAUUGAGGUGGCAGCCCAACAGAGCAUUCGAGACUCUGACAAAAAUUGCUCGAACCGACCCGUCUUGAAACACGGACCAAGGAGUCUAACAUAUAUGCGAGUAUGAGGGUGUGAAAACCCAUAAUGCGAAAUGAAGGUGAAGGUUGAUUUGUUUGACCGAGAUCAUAUCCUGUCACCCUUUCGGGGGUGAUGGGUGCCUGAUCGGCCAACCCAGCCUCGUGUUGGGGAUGAGCAAGAGCAUAUCUGUUGGGACCCGAAAGAUGGUGAACUAUGCCUGAGCAGGGUGAAGUCAGGGGAAACUCUGAUGGAAGCUCGAAGCGAUACUGACGUGCAAAUCGUUCGUCUGACUUGGGUAUAGGGGCGAAAGACUAAUCGAACCAUCUAGUAGCUGGUUCCCUGCGAAGUUUCCCUCAGGAUAGCUGGAACUCACACGCAGUUUUAUCAGGUAAAGCUAAUGAUUAGAGGCACCUGAAUUGAAACAAUUUGGACCUAUUCUCAAACUUUAAAUGGGUAAGACGCCCGGUGUUGCUUGAUUUGAACCCGGGCCUACGAAUGCGUAGUUCUUAGUGGGCCCUUUUUGGUAAGCAGAACGGGCGAUGCGGGAUGAACCGGACGCGUGAGUAAGGUGCCAAAGGUGUUGGCUCAUUUAGACCCCAUGAAAGGUGUUGGUUNAUAUAGACAGCAGGACGGUGGUCAUGGAAGUCGAAAUCCGCUAAGGAGUGCGUAAC
This 1507-nucleotide ribosomal RNA is filed under the name Gromia oviformis. RNAcentral describes it as "LSU rRNA". It matches the Rfam family "Eukaryotic large subunit ribosomal RNA", at positions 1 to 1286 of the family's 3401-position model. The record is from RNAcentral. Lineage: Eukaryota; Endomyxa; Gromiida; Gromiidae.